AUUGAACGCUAGCGGGAUGCCUUACACAUGCAAGUCGAACGGAGUGGCGAACGGGUGAGUAAUGUAUCGGAACGUGCCCAGUAGCGGGGGAUAACUACGCGAAAGCGUAGCUAAUACCGCAUACUAUUGGCGCGGCCGAUAUCGCAAUAGCAAGUUGGUGGGGUAACGGUUCACCGAGGCGACGACCCCUAGCUGAUUUGAGAGGAUGACCAGCCACACUGGGACGGAGACACGGACCAGACUCCUAAGGGAGGCAGGAGUGGGGAAUUUUGGACAAUGGGGGAAACCCUGAUCCAGCCAUCCCGCGUGUGCGAUGAAGGCCUUCGGGUUGUAAAGCACUUUUAGCAGGAAAGCGGUACCUGCAGAAGAAGAACCGGCUAACUACGUGCCAGCAGCCGCGGUAAUAC
Molecule: ribosomal RNA, 407 nt
Filed under: uncultured bacterium
Lineage: Bacteria
Description: partial 16S ribosomal RNA
Rfam family: Bacterial small subunit ribosomal RNA
Source: RNAcentral